RNAcentral lists this ribosomal RNA (461 nucleotides) under uncultured bacterium. RNAcentral's name for it is "partial 16S ribosomal RNA". It matches the Rfam family "Bacterial small subunit ribosomal RNA", at positions 338 to 795 of the family's 1533-position model. The record is from RNAcentral.
CCUUCGGGAGGCAGCAGUGAGGAAUAUUGGUCAAUGGGCUUACGCCUGAACCAGCCAAGUCGCGUGAGGGAAGACUGCCCUAUGGGUUGUAAACCUCUUUUGUCAGGGAGCAACGCCGGCUACGUGUAGCCGGACUGAGAGUCCCUGAAGAAAAAGCCUCGGCUAACUCCGUGCCAGCAGCCGCGGUAAUACGGAGGAUGCGAGCGUUAAUCGGAAUUACUGGGCGUAAAGCGCUCGUAGGCGGUAUGUCAAGUCAAGGGUGAACUCCCCGGGCUCAACGUGGGAACUGCCUUUGAAACUGGCAAACUGGAGUGUGGGAGAGGAUAGUGGAAUUCGAGGUGUAGGGGUGAAAUGCGUAGAUAUCUGGAGGAACAUCAGUUGCGAAGGCGACUAUCUGGCACAUAACUGACGCUGAGGAGCGAAAGCGUGGGUAGCAAACAGGAUUAGAUACCCUGGUAGUC